RNAcentral lists this long non-coding RNA (224 nucleotides) under Homo sapiens (human). RNAcentral's name for it is "HSALNT0200160". Lineage: Eukaryota; Metazoa; Chordata; Mammalia; Primates; Hominidae. The record is from RNAcentral.
UAGAAAAUAUGUUGCUCCCUGAGGAACUGGAAAAUGGCAAUGGCUGGGUCCAGUGCUUGAGUGUCAGAAAGGGAAGGUAACCUGCAAAAGAAGGCUUGCACCCAGGUCCAAAAUGCAGCUCAACAAAUGAGCAAGCACAGAUAUUCAGAGAACCAAGACGGAAUAAACCAGGAAGCCAGACAGACAAGGAAUGAAGCCAGGAUAAAACCAGAGAAAACCUCCAG